CCUCGGCCUCCCAAAGUGCUGGGAUUACAGGCAUGAGCCACUGCACCUGGCAACUCUUCCUUUCAUGAAAGACUUCUCCAUGGCAUGCAUGUGAUGCUAUUUUUGACAGCAUUUUAUCCACAGCAAAACUUUCAAAACUGAUGUCCCUCCUCUCAAACCCUGCUGCUGCUUUAUCAACUAAGUUUCUGUAACAUUCUAAAUCCUUUGUUGUCAUUUUGACAAUGUUCACAGCAUCUUCGCCAGUAGAUUCCACCUCAAGAAGCCACUUUAGGAUGGGCGCGGUGGCUCACGCCUGUAAUCCCAGCACUUUGGGGGCCAAGGUGGGUGGAUCACCUGAGGUCAGAAGUUUGAGACCAGCCUGGCCAACGUGGCGAAACCCUGUCUCUACUAAAAACACAAAAGUCAGCUGGGUGUGGUGGCAGGUCCCAGUAGUCCCAGCAACUCAGGAGGCUGAGGCAGGAGAAUCC
This 467-nucleotide long non-coding RNA is filed under the name Homo sapiens (human). RNAcentral's name for it is "HSALNT0035980". The record is from RNAcentral. Lineage: Eukaryota; Metazoa; Chordata; Mammalia; Primates; Hominidae.